RNAcentral lists this long non-coding RNA (329 nucleotides) under Nicotiana benthamiana. RNAcentral's name for it is "long non-coding RNA (NBEN_LNC038920)". Lineage: Eukaryota; Viridiplantae; Streptophyta; Magnoliopsida; Solanales; Solanaceae. The record is from RNAcentral.
UCCUAGAUCUGUAGGUAUAGAAAAGAAAUUAGGGUUUCGAAAGAAACCCAUAUGGAGAUAAAUAACUUGCUUAGAAAACCCAAGGACCGUUGGAAAUACAACGUGAUAUUGCUUGAAAUCGCACUGGAGUAGCCAAGAACAUGCAAGUGACGAACCCUAGAAGCAAGUUGGCAUGGCCAUGGGCUCUUGAAGACCUUAGAUAAGGCAAGAAUGGAAUGAGAGAAGCCAUUAGAGGUUCAAGAGAUGAUAUAUAGCAAGAGAGUAGGAAGUCAGCGAUUGAAGACUAAGGUUAGAUUGAGACUGUUUUGAGAGAGGAGAUGAUCUUAGGG